Molecule: ribosomal RNA, 253 nt
Filed under: uncultured bacterium
Lineage: Bacteria
Description: partial 16S ribosomal RNA
Rfam family: Bacterial small subunit ribosomal RNA
Source: RNAcentral
UACAGAGGGGGCAAGCGUUGUCCGGAUUUACUGGGCGUAAAGGGCGUGCAGGCGGUUUGUUAAGUGCAGGGUGAAAGCUCCCGGCUCAACUGGGAGAGGUCCUUGCAUACUGGCAAACUCGAGGGAGGCAGAGGAAAGUGGAAUUCCCGGUGUAGCGGUGAAAUGCGCAGAUAUCGGGAGGAACACCGGUGGCGAAGGCAGCCCCCUGGGCUAACACUGACGCUCAGGCACGAAAGCGUGGGGAGCAAACAGG